AAUGAUGGGUAGGGGAGCUUCCCAUACGGGUUGAAGCAUGACCGUAAGGACAUGUGGACAGUAUGGGAGUGAGAAUGUUGGCAUGAGUAGCGAGAUGUGGGGGAGAAUCCCACAGGCCGUAAACCCAAGGUUUCCAGGGGAAGGUUCGUCCGCCCUGGGGUAGUCGGGACCUAAGCUGAGGCCGAAAGGCGUAGGUGAUGGACAACAGGUUGAUAUUCCUGUACUACCGAUAACCGUUUGAGAGAAGGGA
RNAcentral lists this ribosomal RNA (250 nucleotides) under Clostridioides difficile. RNAcentral describes it as "partial 23S ribosomal RNA". It matches the Rfam family "Bacterial large subunit ribosomal RNA", at positions 1220 to 1469 of the family's 2925-position model. The record is from RNAcentral. Lineage: Bacteria; Bacillati; Bacillota; Clostridia; Peptostreptococcales; Peptostreptococcaceae.